CAAAAAAUAAAAUACAAAUAAAUAGACAGAUACCAUGAUUCUUAACAUAUUCAGUUAAUGAAAUACGCAUGGUACAAUAAAUUCAACAAACAAUGGCAUUUAUUCACUAAAGAGUGAAUUGUGAUGAAAUAAAAACUGACUUUACAAUAUUUAAAAAAAAAAAAAAAAGAAUAAUAUCAACCUAAUUUACAGUGAGUUGUAGGCUACUGAUUUCUGUAACAUUUGCUCCAGGACGCUGUCACAAUAUCAGUGGUAGUAAAACACUUGCUGAUGUCUACUAAAGACGGACCUGUUAGCUGUCAUGAGAGCUUCUUGCUCUAGGGCAAGGGUUUCCAACCCAGUCCUCAGGUACCCCUUAACAGUCCAGGAUUUAGGGAUUACCCUGUUGUGUCUAAAGUGGUUUUUUUUCUAAAACACCUUAGACACAACUGGGUAAUCCCUAAAUCCUGGACUGUUAGGGGAUACUUAAAGACUAGGUUGGGAACCACUGCUCUAGGGGAAAGAAUACUCUGUAUGUGCACAGUAAGAAUCACCGUAAGUAUAAUUACUUCCCACUUAAAAUGUUACUCCAAGUACCAUGACCAUAUCACUGAUUUGAAGUAGUCCUGAUGCAUGGAGUCUGUAUGUGCAUUGUUUCACAGACUCUGCACAUAUAGAGUAGUAGCCGUUUGCUGCCAGGGGUGUAACUCCACCUCCAACUGCAUCAUUAGAGCAUUAUUAAUGUCAAGUCCGUACAUACUGGAUGUCAGUUGUCAACAUAAACAGCAUGCUGGUGACAGACAAGCAAUGGCGGCAUGACCUACCUCUCCAUGCAGAUUAAGGUGAC
Molecule: non-coding RNA, 826 nt
Organism: Pelobates cultripes (western spadefoot toad)
Lineage: Eukaryota; Metazoa; Chordata; Amphibia; Anura; Pelobatidae
Source: the annotation of a GenBank genome assembly